Molecule: ribosomal RNA, 400 nt
Filed under: uncultured bacterium
Lineage: Bacteria
Description: bacterial SSU rRNA
Rfam family: Bacterial small subunit ribosomal RNA
Source: RNAcentral
UGGGGAAUAUUGGACAAUGGGCGCAAGCCUGAUCCAGCAAUACCGCGUGAGUGAUGAAGGUCUUCGGAUUGUAAAGCUCUUUUAGUAGGGAAGAUAAUGACGGUACCUACAGAAAAAGCACCGGCAAACUUCGUGCCAGCAGCCGCGGUAAUACGAAGGGUGCUAGCGUUGUUCGGAAUCACUGGGCGUAAAGCGUACGUAGGUGGUUAGGUAAGUCGAUUGUGAAAGCCCCGGGCUCAACUCGGGAAUUGCAAUCGAAACUACCUGGCUAGAGUAUGUUCGGGGAUAGUGGAAUUUCUAGUGUAGGGGUGAAAUCCGUAGAUAUUAGAAGGAAUACCGGUGGCGAAAGCGACUGUCUAGGCCAUUACUGACACUGAGGUACGAAAGCGUGGGGAGCAAA